Molecule: ribosomal RNA, 398 nt
Filed under: uncultured bacterium
Lineage: Bacteria
Description: partial 16S ribosomal RNA
Rfam family: Bacterial small subunit ribosomal RNA
Source: RNAcentral
AUACGUAGGGUGCGAGCGUUGUCCGGAAUUACUGGGCGUAAAGAGCUCGUAGGUGGUUUGUCGCGUCGUCUGUGAAAUUCCGGGGCUUAACUCCGGGCGUGCAGGCGAUACGGGCAUAACUUGAGUACUGUAGGGGAGACUGGAAUUCCUGGUGUAGCGGUGAACUGCGCAGAUAUCAGGAGGAACACCGGUGGCGAAGGCGGGUCUCUGGGCAGUAACUGACGCUGAGGAGCGAAAGCAUGGGUAGCGAACAGGAUUAGAUACCCUGGUAGUCCAUGCCGUAAACGGUGGGCGCUAGGUGUAGGGGUCUUCCACGACUUCUGUGCCGUAGCUAACGCAUUAAGCGCCCCGCCUGGGGAGUACGGCCGCAAGGCUAAAACUCAAAUGAAUUGGCGGGG